RNAcentral lists this ribosomal RNA (732 nucleotides) under Triticum aestivum (bread wheat). RNAcentral describes it as "partial small subunit ribosomal RNA". The record is from RNAcentral. Lineage: Eukaryota; Viridiplantae; Streptophyta; Magnoliopsida; Poales; Poaceae.
AUGCCAGGGCGUGGUCGCAUCGCGGCCGCCUCGCCUGCCUCGUCUACCUGCGGGACGAGGAUGUUGCCGCAGCCGUUGUGGAGCACAUCGAGGCCCGCCUCGCCUCCCUCCUCCGCGGAGACUCGGAAGCCAGCAGCGGCGCCGUGGCUGCCGUCCCCGCCGGCUCCAUCCCGCACGCCAACCGGCGCCUCCACCAUCUCAUGUAUGCCAGCGGCGACCAGGAGCACGCGUUCCCAACUCCCACGGUGCGUGCUCAUGGAUCUCGAGCCCGACACCAUGGGCUCCGUGCACAAGGGGCCCUACGGCCAGAUCUUCCGCCCUGACAACUUUGUCUUCGGCCAGUCCGGCGCCGGCAACAACUGGGCCAAGGGCCACUACACCGAGGGCGGGGAGCUCAUCGACUCCUUCCUCGACGUCGUCCGCGAGGAGGCCGAGAAUUGCGCUGCCUCCAAGGUGUGCCACUCCCUCGGCGGGGGCACCGGUUCCAAGAUCAGGGAGCAGUACCCGGGCCGGAUGAUGCUCACCUUCUCCGUGUUCCCAUCUCCAAAGGUCUCUGACACGGUGGUCGAGCCCUACAACGUCACUCUCUCGGUUCACUGGCUGGUGGAGAACGCCGACGAGUGCAUGGUGCUGGACAACAAGGCGCUCUACGACAUUUGCUUCCGCACCCUCAAGCUGACCACACCUAGCUUAGGUGGUGGAAUGAGGACACUCUCCAAGAGAACUUCUUAA